AUGGAAACACACCUGCUGCUGAUUUUAAUUCUGACUUCAGGUGUGAUGACUGCAGACCAGAUUAGACCAAAUCAAGAAACAAGUGUCAUAAAGGAAGAUGAGACUGUGACCCUCAGCUGCACAUAUGAUACAAGCAGCAGUUAUGUUUAUCUGUACUGGUAUAGACAGUAUCCCAAUGGAGAGCUUCGCUAUUUGUUAUUCAAGCCUGCACGAUCAGGUAGUGCAAGUGGGAGCCCCGAUGAUCCUCGCUUUCAGUCGACAACAUCACAGACAUCCACUAAACUCACUAUUACUGGUGUAACUCUGUCAGAUUCAGCUCUCUAUUAUUGUGCUCUAAGAGUAGCAGCCCAGUGA
Non-coding RNA from Sinocyclocheilus rhinocerous, 354 nucleotides. The record is from the annotation of a RefSeq genome assembly. NCBI's taxonomy places the organism in Eukaryota, Metazoa, Chordata, Actinopteri, Cypriniformes, Cyprinidae.